RNAcentral lists this ribosomal RNA (249 nucleotides) under Triticum aestivum (bread wheat). RNAcentral's name for it is "partial small subunit ribosomal RNA". Lineage: Eukaryota; Viridiplantae; Streptophyta; Magnoliopsida; Poales; Poaceae. The record is from RNAcentral.
AUGGACAGCACCACCGUCUUCUUCGUGUGGUGGUCCAAGGCCGUCGACGAAUCCCCGGGCUGUCUACAGAAGGGCCUUAACUCCAUUGUGGCGCUCACUGCUUGGUCCAUUUGGAAGAACCGCAACGCGGCCAUCUUCGAGAGCCGGCACCCCUCCACCGAAGACCUAGUACUCUAGAUCAAAGACGACGCCCGCCUUUGGGCUAAGGCAGGCGCUCGAGGGCUGGCCGCAAUUAUCCCUGUAACAUGA